AACGCACCUUGCGCUCCUUGGUAUUCCGAGGAGCAUGCCUGUUUGAGUGUCAUUAAAUUCUCAACCUCACCCGUUUUCUGAACGGUUCUCCGAGGCUUGGAUGUGGGGGUUUGUGCAGGCUGCCUCAGCGCGGUCCGCUCCCCUGAAAUGCAUUAGCGAGUUCGUACUGAGCUCCGUCUAUUGGUGUGAUAAUUAUCUACGCCGUGGACAGGGUUUAGACUCGCUUCUAACCGUCCGCAAGGACAAUACCUUUGACAAUUUGACCUCAAAUCAGGUAGGACUACCCGCUGAACUUAA
This 297-nucleotide unclassified non-coding RNA is filed under the name uncultured Coprinellus. RNAcentral's name for it is "sequence contains ITS2". The stretch from base 1 to 52 matches the Rfam family "5.8S ribosomal RNA", at positions 103 to 154 of the family's 154-position model. The record is from RNAcentral. Lineage: Eukaryota; Fungi; Basidiomycota; Agaricomycetes; Agaricales; Psathyrellaceae.